UUCCCCAGGUCCUUCUUUUUCCCACAUUUUGAAGCUAGGUACUUUAUUUGCCCUUUUCUAGUUCUCUGGGUCCUUUGCUGUCCUCCAUGAGUUCUCAAAGACAAUCACUAAUGGUUCAGAGACUGCUUCCGCUAAUUCCGCUUCCUUUUUCUUCAGGCUAUUAAAAGACGAGGGACCCAAUUCAGAGGGGAAUCUAAGGCUUUCAUCUGUUCAAACAGAGAAAGAAGAAAAGCAGGGUGCUGAGAAUCAGUGGCAACACUCACACCAGAUUCAAUUCAGUAACAGCAUCUGCAGAAGAUUAAAGAGAUAGUAAAUAUUUUGUCCUUUCUAUCAAGAGUUUAACAUGUUUUGCAAGAUAUUAUAUAAAUAUUAUGUUGUGCCAAGUUAUGCUAUAAGAGUACAACAAAUAUAAAGUUAUUUUAUGUUAUGAAAGUAAACCCAAAUUUUGUAUACUGUUUAUAUAUAGUAAGUGUCCUAGGCAACUGAAAUUCUAGGAUGCUCUAAAUACAUUUCAAAACUCUUUGAUACAAUCUUUAUCUUUCUACAUAAGUAUGGUAUUGAGAACUGUUUCAAAAUGUAGGUACUAAUAUUUUCUCAAUAUUAUGAGAUCCUCAUUUCAUUAGUUAGCCAGACAAUAAAAAUAUCAAAUUAAAUUAUGCAAAAAAUACUUUUUUAAAUAUAAGUUUAGGGUUUCAUUUCUACUUCCAAGUUAUAUGCGCAAUCUUAUUUCAAACUCAAAUAUACGUCCUCUAUCUCCCUUAGAUCCUUGUACAUAUUUGGGAGUUCUAUAAUUGACUUCAAUGGGAGCUUAGCUCUUGUCUGCAGCCAACCAGCCAACCUCCCCUCCCUCUGUGAAUGGUCAUGUAAUCAACUACAAAUAAAGUAUAGCUUUGCUGGACAAUGCAGGGGAAACUGGGCUGUGGCUCUGUCCUCUCCCCACCCAACCUUCUUUGGACAGUCUAACAAAUAUCUGCACUAGACUGCCUCAGUCCUCAUGAGCCACCUGUACAGGGGAUGAAAAGAUCAGGGGAAAGGCUCCUUACAGCCUCCUCUCUCACACAUCGAUCCGCACAGGGAUCGACACAAACUAGAUCUUAAUAUGUAGAUGCUUUUUUAAGUAAGAGAAGAAAUGUUGCUAUCCCCAAUAACCUCAAAACCUCAUCAAGGAGAAAUCAAUUCCUCAUUAUAGGUUCUGUGGAAUCACUGGUAGUAAGUUAAUAAGCUGCCAAACUGUAAAGAUAAACUUCAUUCCUUAUGGGGUUCUCUAUAUCUCUUUUCUAGUAAGUUCGUGCUGCCGCAACAGAGGAAGCACAAAGUUGACCAAUAAAACUUGUUCUUAGAAUUAUGAAGGCUUCGCUGACCUUUUAUUUUUAUUUUUUUCAGACUAGGGAAACUACAAUUAACUGUGAUUCAUGUUGGCUUGUUACCCCAUAAGAAUUAGAGGAGGACUUUUGCAGAAU
Molecule: long non-coding RNA, 1460 nt
Organism: Chrysemys picta bellii (western painted turtle)
Lineage: Eukaryota; Metazoa; Chordata; Testudines; Emydidae
Source: RefSeq, a predicted model, not a curated record